GCUUGUCUCAAAGAUUAAGCCAUGCAUGUCUUAGUGUAAAUAACUCUUAUGAAACUGCGAAUGGCUCAUUAAAUCAGUUAUCGUUUAUUUGAUGGUCCCUUACUACAUGGAUAACCGUAGUAAUUCUAGAGCUAAUACAUGCGUCAAAACCCGACUCCUGGGAGGGUUGUAUUUAUUAGAUGGAAACCAAUGCGGGGCAACCCGGAAUAUGGUGAAUCAUAAUAACUGUCGUAUCGAGCAAUCGAAGCGCCAUACAAGUUUCUGCCCUAUCAGCUUUGGAUGGUAGGGUAUUGGCCUACCAUGGCUUUAACGGGUAACGGAGAAUUAGGGUUCGAUUCCGGAGAGGGAGCCUGAGAAACGGCUACCACAUCCAAGGAAGGCAGCAGG
Molecule: ribosomal RNA, 387 nt
Filed under: uncultured Allapsidae
Lineage: Eukaryota; Cercozoa; Glissomonadida; Viridiraptoridae
Description: partial small subunit ribosomal RNA
Rfam family: Eukaryotic small subunit ribosomal RNA
Source: RNAcentral